UUUUUUUUUAGCAGUUCUGGGAAUCAAACCCAGACCCUCGUGCAUGCCAGGCCAGCACUCUACCACUGAAGUAUAUCCCCAAUCUCAUUUUUGUAAAUUUUUUUCAAGUUUCACACAAUGACCAUAGAAGUCGGAACUGGGACCCACAGGCAUAGCUCAGGGGCAGAGUGCGGGCCUAGGGUGUGCAAGGCUCUAGGUUGAUCCUCAGCCUGGGGAAGGGCCACAACUUUGUCCUAGGCCUUUGCGCUGGUGGCACCACCCUGUGGAUGCAGCUGGAAUUACUUUGAUGAUCCUGAACCUCUUUUCUGGGAUCUGACCAGUGACCCCAACCCUCACGCCCAGGUAUUCCUCAGAGCCCCUGGAAACAUCUCACAUGAAUUCAGGAACAAGUUGCAGAGUUUGUUGACCCAUCAAGAACUGUUGGAAUGCCAGCAGGUACCCAGAAUGCACUCUGAUUUCCCAGCUUCUUGUUUGAGAGAUGAAGGACAGCUAUUCCCAAGACCACAGAGAAUUUCCAAGGAUGGACACCAAGAGUGGUUAAAGCUGGGGCCAAAUCCCGGCUCUACCACUUCUUAGCACUGUGUAACCGUCGAUGGGUUAUUUAACCUCAUUUCUUCAUCUGUAAGAUGGCGACAUCUACCUGUGCUACCUGUGCAUUAAAAUCAAACCAUCAUGGUGCACACCUAUAAUUCCAGAGGCUUGGGAGGCUGAGACAGGAGAAUUGCAAGUUCAAAGCCAGCCUCAGCAACUGUGAGGCACUAAGCAACACAAUGAGACCCAUCUCUAAGUAAAAUACAAAAUAUGGCUGAGGAUAUGGCUCAGUGGUCGAGAGCCCCAGAGUUCAAUCACUGAUACUCCCCCCUGAAAAAAAUCAAACCAUCAUCAGAAGGUGGUGGCACAUGCCUGUAAUCCAGCAGCUCGGGAGGCUGAGGCAGGAGGAUUGUGAGUUCAAAGCCAGCCUCAGCAAAAGGGAGGCACUAAGCAACUCAGUGAGACUCUGUCUCUAAAUAAAAUACAAAGUAGGGCUGGGGAUGUGGCUCAGUGGUUGAGAACCCCAGAGUUCAAUCCCCAGUACCCUCCUCCCCCAAAAAUCAAACCAUCUGGCAAAUACCUACCCCCUUUUCAGGCCAAGACGAAGGAUAGCAAUUGUCAUUGUUCUUAUAGACUUUAUAGACUUUCAGAAGGUUAUCACAGCUAACAUUAGAACAGCCCUCUGGCUGCAAGCCGUGUCAGUUCACUGGGCCAACCCAGACUGCUUGAAUCCCUCUUAGACCUGAGCUGGCCCUUGCCACCACGUAGCCACCGACACACAUGGCAAUAAACAAAGAGAAUCCAAGCCUCCCAUAAGCUCAUACUCAAGAGAUAAUCCCUGCUAACAAUCUGGCGGGGGCAUGUCAUGGUGCUGCUCUAUUUGUCAUUCCCAGUCUGUGCAGUGCACCCCCACACCCAUCUUUCUCACCUUCACUCUGAUGUUAUCAUUUUUCUGAGGCCAUAAUAAUCUUUGUGAGGGCCUGGACAUUGGGUGGCUUUUCAUUUAUUUCUGGCCGCACACGGUCUUCCUCACCCCAGAUGGUGUAUGUGGAACCGUGCGCUCGGCUGAGGUGAUGACUAACCAGCUAGCAGGGCUGGCAGCCCCCCUCUGUGGUACAGAAGGGUGGCACUGCUGCGUUUCCAUUUAGCUGAGACAGAACACCCACGGUCGCCACCUGCACAGGCUGCUGGGAACAUGGCCCUGAUUUACACCCCCAAAUCCCUCUUGAAACCAUUCUGUCUGCAUAGUAAAGAGGCUUUGGACACAUGCAAGCUGACCUUUGGAGAGAUGGGCCUUAUGAGCUACCGUAGCCCAAAGGGAGAUGGUGCCCACUUGGGGCCCUGGCUGGCCUCAGAGAGGACACAGGGGAGGAGAAAUGCAACCACAGACCUUUCUCAUCCAGGCAGCUAAACACAGGGCCAGUGACAGCCUGGAACAGUCUGCGCUUCCAGCAGGCCAAAACAGGCUUCAGGGCAGGAGGUGGUGAGGACUGGCAAGGGAGUCCCAGUGAGACCCAAUGACAGUUAAGACCUGGGUGGGCCUGGACCACACCCUUGGGAAAAUGUAUGGGAACAAUCUUUGCAGUGUAAUACUUCUAGUAUCUGCAACUACACCUGCCCCACAGGCUGGUUUGGAUGCUGCCCAUCUCUUAGGGUCUGAUUGUGGUCUCCCAUCAAGUUCAUGUUGAAGUCCUAACCCCCAAAUCUCAGAUUCUAGCUAUAUUUGGAGAUAAAGUCUUUAAAGAAGUAAUUAAAUAAAAAUGAGGUCAUUACAAUGGGCCCUCACCUAAGCCAAAUGGUGAAGACACAGACCCACACAGAGGGAAUCCCAUGUGAGAUACAGGGAGAAGAGGGCCCUCUACAAGCCAAGGAGAAAGGCCCCAGAAGAUGCCAGCCCUGCCAAGGACAAUCUUGAGCUCCGUGAGAAAUUAAAUUUCUGUUGUUUAAGCUAUGCAGUCUGUGGCUCCUUGCUGCGACAACCCAAGCCAAUCAUCUCUCUCAGAAGGUGGAAUGCAGACCCGGGCUGGAGGGAAUUAUUGACU
Molecule: long non-coding RNA, 2573 nt
Filed under: Marmota monax (woodchuck)
Lineage: Eukaryota; Metazoa; Chordata; Mammalia; Rodentia; Sciuridae
Source: RNAcentral